AUUGAACGCUGGCGGCAGGCCUAACACAUGCAAGUCGAGCGGCAGCGGGAAAGUAGCUUGCUACUUUUGCCGGCGAGCGGCGGACGGGUGAGUAAUGCCUGGGAAAUUGCCCAGUCGAGGGGGAUAACAGUUGAAAACGACUGCUAAUACCGCAUACGCCCUACGGGGGAAAGCAGGGGACCUUCGGGCCUUGCGCGAUUGGAUAUGCCCAGGUGGGAUUAGCUAGUUGGUGAGGUAAUGGCUCACCAAGGCGACGAUCCCUAGCUGGUCUGAGAGGAUGAUCAGCCACACUGGAACUGAGACACGGUCCAGACUCCUACGGGAGGCAGCAGUGGGGAAUAUUGCACAAUGGGGGAAACCCUGAUGCAGCCAUGCCGCGUGUGUGAAGAAGGUCUUCGGGUUGUAAAGCACUUUCAGCGAGGAGGAAAGGUUGAUGCCUAAUACGUAUCAACUGUGACGUUACUCGCAGAAGAAGCACCGGCUAACUCCGUGCCAGCCGCCGCGGUAA
Molecule: ribosomal RNA, 508 nt
Filed under: uncultured bacterium
Lineage: Bacteria
Description: partial 16S ribosomal RNA
Rfam family: Bacterial small subunit ribosomal RNA
Source: RNAcentral